AGAUUGGUUGUAGUAUGUGUUAAAUAUUUGGUCUGUUGUGUUGUAAGAAAGAGAAGAUGUAGGUUGCUGAGAAACUCUAUCAGUACUGCUAUAUUCUUCUUUGUAUCAUUUCCUUUUUUUCCAUUUAAUUAUUGCCAUGUGUCGCGCCACCAUUGGUGGUUGUCCAUUAUUUUGAAAAAAGCUCAAUUGUAAUAGCUAAACAAAUAUAUCUUGUUCUUGAUGUCUA
RNAcentral lists this long non-coding RNA (226 nucleotides) under Lathyrus oleraceus (garden pea). RNAcentral's name for it is "Pisum sativum (pea) long non-coding RNA (PSAT_LNC015261)". The record is from RNAcentral. Lineage: Eukaryota; Viridiplantae; Streptophyta; Magnoliopsida; Fabales; Fabaceae.